Molecule: long non-coding RNA, 331 nt
Filed under: Capsicum annuum
Lineage: Eukaryota; Viridiplantae; Streptophyta; Magnoliopsida; Solanales; Solanaceae
Description: long non-coding RNA (CANN_LNC013085)
Source: RNAcentral
AAAAUUCUUGUUUUAUAAUUCCAAGGUGAAUUUCUAGCUUUGUUUUCAAUUUGCCCAUAGUGUCGACAUGGUGUGCCCAAACAGCAAUCCAGUAGUACAAAAAGUAUGUGAAUUAUAUGAACAAAUCUCGAGAUUGGAGAACCUUAGCCCUUGCAAAGAUGUCAACAUGUUGUUCACAGACCUUGUCCACACGUGCAUGCCUCCUAAUCCUAUUGAUGUCUCUAAGCUCUGCCAAAAAAUUCAAGAAAUCAGGUCUCAUCUCAUCAAGUUAUGUGGUGAGGCUGAAGGACUUUUAGAGUCUCACUUUUCAACAAUUCUUGCCACUUAUGAA